This 107-nucleotide small nuclear RNA is filed under the name Echinops telfairi (small Madagascar hedgehog). Lineage: Eukaryota; Metazoa; Chordata; Mammalia; Afrosoricida; Tenrecidae. The record is from RNAcentral.
GUGCGUGCCGCCAGCACAUUCCUAAAACCAGAACAACACAGAAAAGAAUUAGGAUGGCCCUUGCACAAGGGAUGACAUGGGAAUUCCGUGAGAGGUUCUACAUUUUU